RNAcentral lists this ribosomal RNA (299 nucleotides) under uncultured bacterium. RNAcentral's name for it is "partial 16S ribosomal RNA". It matches the Rfam family "Bacterial small subunit ribosomal RNA", at positions 330 to 647 of the family's 1533-position model. The record is from RNAcentral.
UCCGGCCUACGGGGGCAGCAGUGGGGAAUAUUGGGCAAUGGGCGCAAGCCUGACCCAGCAACGCCGCGUGAAGGAAGAAGGCUUUCGGGUUGUAAACUUCUUUUCUCAGGGACGAAGCAAGUGACGGUACCUGAGGAAUAAGCCACGGCUAACUACGUGCCAGCAGCCGCGGUAAUACGUAGGUGGCAAGCGUUAUCCGGAUUUACUGGGUGUAAAGGGCGUGUAGGCGGGACUGCAAGUCAGAUGUUAAAACCACGGGCUCAACCUGUGGCCUGCAUUUUAAACUGUAGUUCUUGUGU